GCCCCGCUAGCUCAGCGGACAGAGCACCGCUCUUCUAAAGCGGGUGUCGCUGGUUCGAGUCCAGCGCGGGGCG
Molecule: transfer RNA, 73 nt
Filed under: Micromonospora sp. KC721
Lineage: Bacteria; Bacillati; Actinomycetota; Actinomycetes; Micromonosporales; Micromonosporaceae
Description: tRNA-Arg
Rfam family: tRNA
About the family: Transfer RNA (tRNA) molecules are approximately 80 nucleotides in length. Their secondary structure includes four short double-helical elements and three loops (D, anti-codon, and T loops). Further hydrogen bonds mediate the characteristic L-shaped molecular structure. tRNAs have two regions of fundamental functional importance: the anti-codon, which is responsible for specific mRNA codon recognition, and the 3' end, to which the tRNAs corresponding amino acid is attached (by aminoacyl-tRNA synthetases). tRNAs cope with the degeneracy of the genetic code in two manners: having more than one tRNA (with a specific anti-codon) for a particular amino acid; and 'wobble' base-pairing, i.e. permitting non-standard base-pairing at the 3rd anti-codon position.
Source: RNAcentral